RNAcentral lists this RNase P RNA (449 nucleotides) under Dehalococcoidia bacterium. Its description in RNAcentral is "RNase P RNA component class A". It matches the Rfam family "Bacterial RNase P class A". Rfam says of the family: Ribonuclease P (RNase P) is a ubiquitous endoribonuclease, found in archaea, bacteria and eukarya as well as chloroplasts and mitochondria. Its best characterised activity is the generation of mature 5'-ends of tRNAs by cleaving the 5'-leader elements of precursor-tRNAs. The record is from RNAcentral. Lineage: Bacteria; Bacillati; Chloroflexota; Dehalococcoidia.
CAGGUAGACCGGGUGACCGCCGCGGCGGCCCAAUCAAUUGGGGCGCCGGGGAGGAAAGUCCGGGCUCCGCUGGGCAGGGUGCUGGGUAACGCCCAGGCCUCUGCGGCGGCCACGCUGCCGCAGGGGACGGAAAGUGGCACAGAAACAUACCGUCCCGACUUGUCGGGAUAAGGGUGAAAUCGGACGGUAAGAGCGUCCGGUCGUCUGUGGUGACACAGCGACGGCCAAACCCCACCUGGAGCAAGGCCGAAUAGGGGGACCAUGGGCGCCCGGCCCGUCCCCGGGUUGGCUGCUAGACCCCGAUGGUAACGUCGUCCCGCACUGCGCGGGUGCCCAAUGGCCCAUGUGGCCCUGGGCGGGCUAGAUAGAUGGUCACCGCCCCGCGGUCCUGCCGCUCUGCAGCGUGGCACUGCGGGAUACAGAACCCGGCUUACAGGUCUGCGUGGCUC